Pelobates cultripes (western spadefoot toad) is the source of this 298-nucleotide non-coding RNA. The record is from the annotation of a GenBank genome assembly. Lineage: Eukaryota; Metazoa; Chordata; Amphibia; Anura; Pelobatidae.
CUUUUCUAGGCAAGAUGCUGUGAAGUAAUGGAGUUCUUAUUCCCAUCCACGAUAUCCAAGUGUAUAAUCCGGCAUUGCUGUAAAAUGAGGCAGAGUAACAGUACCAUAAAUCCCCUCCAAGAACGAGACGAGGCUACGUUUUGAAGGGUCAAGUAGAACUGAUGUUUAUUGACAGGGGUCUCCUUUUAUGCAAUGGUGCCCUCUGAAAGGCUACACCCACAUAAUUAACACAACAGCCAAUCAGAUACAUGGUACAACCCCCACGUCUCCUCCCCUCAGAUAAACAUAUAACAUAAUU